AGUACCCGCUGAAAACUUAAGCAUAUCAAUAAGCGGAGGAAAAGAAACUAACAAGGAUUCCCCUAGUAACUGCGAGUGAAGCGGGAAAAGCUCAAAUUUAAAAUCUGRCAGUCUUGGCUGUCCGAGUUGUAAUCUGGAGAAGUGCUUUCUGCGCUGGACCGUGUACAAGUCUCUUGGAAUAGAGCGUCAUAGAGGGUGAGAAUCCCGUCUUUGACACGGACUACCAGUGCUUUGUGAUGCGCUUUCAAAGAGUCGAGUUGUUUGGGAAUGCAGCUCAAAAUGGGUGGUAAAUUCCAUCUAAAGCUAAAUAUUGGCGAGAGACCGAUAGCGAACAAGUACCGUGAGGGAAAGAUGAAAAGCACUUUGGAAAGAGAGUUAAACAGUACGUGAAAUUGCUGAAAGGGAAACGCUUGAAGUCAGUCGCGUUGUUCAGAACUCAGCCUGGCCUUGGCUUGGUGCAUUUUCUGAAUAACGGGCCAGCAUCAAUUUUGACUGUUGGAUAAAGGCCAGGGAAAUGUGGCUCCUCCGGGAGUGUUAUAGUCCUUGGUUGCAUACAAUGGUUGGGAUUGAGGAACUCAGCAUGCCUUUAUGGUCGGGGUUCGCCCACGUUCAUGCUUAGGAUGCUGGCGUAAUGGCUUUAAACGACCCGUCUUGAAACACGGACCAAGGAGUCUAACAUGCCUGCGAGUGUUUGGGUGGAAAACCCGAGCGCGAAAUGAAAGUGAAAGUUGGGAUCCCUGUCGUGGGGAGCACCGACGCCCGGACCAGACCUUCUGUGACGGAUCCGCGGUAGAGCAUGUAUGUUGGGACCCGAAAGAUGGUGAACUAUGCCUGAAUAGGGUGAAGCCAGAGGAAACUCUGGUGGAGGCUCGUAGCGAUUCUGACGUGCAAAUCGAUCGUCAAAUUUGGGUAUAGGGGCGAAAGACUAAUCGAACCCUUUUGUC
This 944-nucleotide ribosomal RNA is filed under the name Meripilus dollingerii. Its description in RNAcentral is "Physisporinus sp. CGW-2022c partial large subunit ribosomal RNA". Lineage: Eukaryota; Fungi; Basidiomycota; Agaricomycetes; Polyporales; Meripilaceae. The record is from RNAcentral.